This 72-nucleotide transfer RNA is filed under the name Fukomys damarensis (Damara mole-rat). It matches the Rfam family "tRNA". From Rfam's summary of the family: Transfer RNA (tRNA) molecules are approximately 80 nucleotides in length. Their secondary structure includes four short double-helical elements and three loops (D, anti-codon, and T loops). The record is from Rfam by way of RNAcentral. Lineage: Eukaryota; Metazoa; Chordata; Mammalia; Rodentia; Bathyergidae.
GGGGGUGUAGCUCAGUGGUAGAGCACGUGCUCAGUGGGGAGGAGGCCCUGGGUUCAAUCCCCAGCACACACA